ACUCAAAUGAAUAGACGGGGGCCCGCACAAGCAGCGGAGCGUGUGGUUUAAUUCGAGGCUACGCGAAGAACCUUACCUGGGUUUGACAUAGCGCUGAACGAGGCUGAAAGGCUGAGGGUCCUUCGGGACAGCGUUACAGGUGCUGCAUGGCUGUCGUCAGCUCGUGUCGUGAGAUGUUCGGUUAAGUCCGAAAACGAGCGCAACCCCCGGCGUGUGUUACACGUGUCACACGCUACUGCCGGCGGCAAGCCGGAGGAAGGUGGGGAUGAUGUCAAGUCAGCAUGGCCUAUAUAUCCAGGGCUACACACACGCUACAAUGGGCGGUACAGUGGGACGCGAAGUUGUGAGAUGGAGCCAAUCCUAAAAAGCCGUUCGUAGUUCGGAUUGCAGGCUGCAACCCGCCUGCAUGAAGUUGGAGUUGCUAGUAAACGCGCAUCAGCACGGCGCGUUGAAUACGUUCCCGGGCCUUGCACACACCGCCCGU
This 484-nucleotide ribosomal RNA is filed under the name uncultured bacterium. RNAcentral describes it as "partial 16S ribosomal RNA". It matches the Rfam family "Bacterial small subunit ribosomal RNA", at positions 899 to 1397 of the family's 1533-position model. The record is from RNAcentral.